AGGCUUCAAAACCUUCGGUGCCGCAGCCAACGCGAUAAGUUAACCGCCUGAGGACUACGGCCGCAAGGUUAAAACUCAAAGGAAUUGACGGGUCCCCGCACAAGCAGCGGAGCGUGUGGUUUAAUUCGAUGCUACACGAAGAACCUUACCAAGGCUUGACAUGCAAGUAGUAGGAAACCGAAAGGCGACCGAUCCUUCGGGAAGCUUGCACAGGUGCUGCAUGGCUGUCGUCAGCUCGUGUCGUGAGAUGUUCGGUUAAGUCCGCUAACGAGCGCAACCCUCACUGUGUGUUAUACGUGUCACAUGGGACUGCCUGUCUUAAACAGGAGGAAGGUGGGGAUGACGUCAAGUCAGCAUGGCCUUUAUACCUUGGGCUACACACACGCUACAAUGGCCAACACAAUAGGUAGCCAACCCGCGAGGGGGAGCCAAUCCUUAAAGUUGGUCUCAGUUCAGAUUGUAGGCUGCAACUCGCCUGCAUGAAGACGGAGUUGCUAGUAACCGCAGGUCAGCUAUACUGCGGUGAAUACGUUCUCGC
RNAcentral lists this ribosomal RNA (538 nucleotides) under uncultured Chloroflexota bacterium. RNAcentral describes it as "bacterial SSU rRNA". It matches the Rfam family "Bacterial small subunit ribosomal RNA", at positions 827 to 1377 of the family's 1533-position model. The record is from RNAcentral. Lineage: Bacteria; Bacillati; Chloroflexota.